GGUAGUUCAGUGAUGGGGUGACGCAGUCAGGUAGCCGCGCCAAGUGUUGGAUAUCUUGGUGUAAGCGUGUGGCACGUCGACUUGUGAAAUGCGGUCGAUAUUUUGUGUGAGGCGUGAUGCGUAGCCCAAUUGUUGGGUGAUGGUGGUGAUCCUUUGCUGUCGAGAAAAGCCUCUAGCGAUGUGUGUAUACGGCCCGUACCCGAAACCGACACAGGUAGUCAAGUAGAGAAUACUCAGGCGGUCGGGAGAACUGUGGUUAAGGAACUCGGCAAAUUACCCCCGUAACUUCGGGAGAAGGGGGACCCAAACUGGUGCCCGAUCAUACGAUCGUGGUUGCUGGCGUGGGUCGCAGAGAAUAGAGGGGAGCGACUGUUUAUCAAAAACACAGGUCCGUGCGAAGACGA
RNAcentral lists this ribosomal RNA (404 nucleotides) under Ctenophora environmental sample. Its description in RNAcentral is "partial Bacterial large subunit ribosomal RNA". It matches the Rfam family "Bacterial large subunit ribosomal RNA", at positions 1452 to 1834 of the family's 2925-position model. Lineage: Eukaryota; Metazoa; Ctenophora. The record is from RNAcentral.